Molecule: ribosomal RNA, 745 nt
Filed under: Lysmata wurdemanni
Lineage: Eukaryota; Metazoa; Arthropoda; Malacostraca; Decapoda; Hippolytidae
Description: partial large subunit ribosomal RNA
Rfam family: Eukaryotic large subunit ribosomal RNA
Source: RNAcentral
GGAUUUUCCUCAGUAAGGGCGACUGAAACGGGAAGAGCCCAGCGCAUAACCUGGCGGUCGGCCGCGGCCGUCCAGGGGUGUUGCGUUCCGGUGCGUGCUUGCCGCCCGAGUUGCUCACCGCCUAAGUCAUUGCUUGAAAGCAGCCCCGAGGAGGGUGAUAGGCCCGUGUGGCGGCGCCUGUAAAAAGGGUGAAGGCGGCUCGGGCGGGCGGACGUCCACCGUAGAGUCGGGUUGCUUAGUACUGCAGCCCUAAGCAGGUGGUAAACUCCAUCUAAGGCUAAAUACUACCACGAGUCCGAUAGAGAACAAGUACCGUGAGGGAAAGCUGAAAAGGACUUUGAAGAGAGAGUUCAAUAGGACGUGAAACCGUUAGAAGCUUAAACGGGUGGAACCGCGAAGGUUGAACGAGGGGAUUCAGCUCGCCGGUGCCCGGAGUGCGGAUGGCGGGUCAGACAUGUUUUGACGACGGGACCCGGCGCGAGAGUGCUGCCGGGCCCCGCCGCCGCCUCCGGGCCUUCGGGCGGGCUUACUUCUCCCUCGGGAGGUCGCCGCGACCCGUUGUCGGGGGCCCCAGGGCCGUGUCGCAUUGGUAGCCCGGGCCUGCAAGGGCCCGGGUGACGAGUGGCUGCGGUUCCGUCGGCCGCCGGCGGCGGUGUUGCAGGGGGGCCGCGUUGAGCGGCCCCUCGCGGCGUGCAAGGGAUCGGACAUCCACCCGACCCGUCUUGAAACACGGACCAAGGAGUCC